Molecule: ribosomal RNA, 67 nt
Filed under: Tomentella sp. 1 BB-2010
Lineage: Eukaryota; Fungi; Basidiomycota; Agaricomycetes; Thelephorales; Thelephoraceae
Description: partial 28S ribosomal RNA
Rfam family: Eukaryotic large subunit ribosomal RNA (bases 11-67)
Source: RNAcentral
UUUGAAUGUUUGAUCUCAAAUCAGGUAGGACUACCCGCUGAACUUAAGCAUAUCAAUAAGCGGAGGA